Molecule: ribosomal RNA, 429 nt
Filed under: Chloroflexota bacterium
Lineage: Bacteria; Bacillati; Chloroflexota
Description: Chloroflexi bacterium partial 16S ribosomal RNA
Rfam family: Bacterial small subunit ribosomal RNA
Source: RNAcentral
UGGGGAAUAUUGCACAAUGGGCGCAAGCCUGAUGCAGCCAUGCCGCGUGUAUGAAGAAGGCCUUCGGGUUGUAAAGUACUUUCAGCGGGGAGGAAGGGAGUAAAGUUAAUACCUUUACUCAUUGACGUUACCCGCAGAAGAAGCACCGGCUAACUCCGUGCCAGCAGCCGCGGUAAUAUGGAGGGUGCAAGCGUUAAUCGGAAUUACUGGGCGUAAAGCGCACGCAGGCGGUUUGUUAAGUCAGAUGUGAAAUCCCCGGGCUCAACCUGCGAACUGCAUCUGAUACUGGCAAGCUUGAGUCUCGUAGAGGGGGGUAGAAUUCCAGGUGGAGCGAUGAAAUGCGGAGAGAUCUGGAGGAAUACCGGUGGCGAAGGCGGCCCCCUGGAAGAAGACUGACGCUCAGGUGCGAAAGCGUGGGGAGCAAACAGG